RNAcentral lists this ribosomal RNA (253 nucleotides) under uncultured bacterium. RNAcentral's name for it is "partial 16S ribosomal RNA". It matches the Rfam family "Bacterial small subunit ribosomal RNA", at positions 524 to 776 of the family's 1533-position model. The record is from RNAcentral.
UACGAAGGGGGCUAGCGUUGCUCGGAAUCACUGGGCGUAAAGCGCACGUAGGCGGAUUGCUAAGUCAGGGGUGAAAUCCUGGAGCUCAACUCCAGAACUGCCUUUGAUACUGGCAACCUUGAGUCCGGGAGAGGUGAGUGGAACUGCGAGUGUAGAGGUGAAAUUCGUAGAUAUUCGCAAGAACACCAGUGGCGAAGGCGGCUCACUGGCCCGGUACUGACGCUGAGGAGCGAAAGCGUGGGGAGCGAACAGG